GGGUGGCGGACUGGGUCUGUCCCCAGUCUCGGUCUGGGCGGGCGCGCGGCCUGGCUUCGCUGGAGCUGUCCUGCGCCUACCGCAGCAGCGGACCGGACCAGGGGCCUGCGGAGGCCAAGUCUGGCGCGAGGCUGAGGCUCAGAGAUCAUUGGAGCAGAACUAAUGGGCAGAAGCAGCCAUUGCAUCUUUUGUUGUCCUUAGUUUGCAGUCAGAUUGGAAAAAUUUCACUUGAAGCUUCCUCAUCUGGAUCAAAGCAGAAAGAUACAUAUCACUCAUAAAAUUGAAGACAUGGGCUUCAACCUGCAUUUCCACCUUUCCUACAAGUUACGGUUACUGUUGCUUUUUACCUUAUGCCUGACGGUGGUUGGAUGGGCCACCAGUAACUACUUUGUGGGUGCUAUUCAAGAGAUUCCCAAAGCAAAGGAUUUCAUGGCUAACUUUAAGGCCAUAGCUUUGGGGAAGGAAGAAACUCUGACUAAUGAAGCCUCCAUGAAAAAAGCAGAACUUGACAACUGUCCUUAUAUAUCUCCAGACCUCAGAGGCCAGAGCAAGCUUAUUUUCAAACCAGAUCUCACUUUAGAAGAAGUACAGGCUAAAAACCCCAAGGUGCACAGAGGCCGGUAUCGCCCUGAGGAGUGUAAAGCUCUUCAGCGGGUCGCCAUCCUCAUUCCCCACCGGAACCGAGAGAAGCACCUGAUGUACCUGUUGGAACACCUUCAUCCCUUCCUGCAGAGGCAGCAGCUGGAGUAUGGCAUCUACAUCAUCCACCAGGCUGGAACUAAAAAGUUUAAUCGAGCCAAACUCUUGAAUGUGGGCUAUUUAGAAGCUCUCAAGGAAGAAAACUGGGACUGCUUUAUCUUUCAUGAUGUGGACCUGGUGCCUGAGAAUGACUAUAACCUUUACAUGUGUGAGGAUCAGCCCAAGCAUCUGGUGGUGGGCAGGAACAGCACUGGGUACAGGUUACGUUACAGUGGAUAUUUUGGGGGUGUUACUGCCCUAAGCAGACAGCAGUUUUUCAAGGUGAAUGGAUUCUCUAACAACUACUGGGGAUGGGGAGGCGAAGACGAUGACCUCAGACUCAGGGUUGAGCUCCAUAAAAUGAAAAUACUACGGCCAAAGCCUGAAGUGGGUAAAUACACGAUGAUCUUCCACACUAGAGACCAGGGCAACGAGGUGAAUGUGGAACGAUAGCCAUCUUACACCUGCUGAGAGGUUCUGCUAGGUCUCUAAGAUAUACACAAGGGAGCAGCUUACAAGUCCCACUCUCAGGGAGCACACCUGUACAGAACAUUUCAGAAUCUCAGAGGUCAGAAGAAGAUAAACCAGCAUCUGUUGAACAUCUGGUGUCCUUCGUAACCAGGACCUUGGUAUAUCAGAGAAGAGCCAGUAGCCAGGCACACAGUGUCUCAGUGGCAUCCUCCUCCCACAUCCCGUCACUCAUGUGAAUAAAGCAGAGCUCACCAGGUGUACUGGUGGGGUUUGUGUUGUGCGUGUGCAUGGGGCACAUGGGCUGCACACCCAUGGUGGCACAUAAUGCUUCCCUGUGACACCAUCUCUAUUUCUAGCUGGAAAAUAGUGGGCAGCAGAUUUCCUUUAAGUCUAGGUGAGAGUUCUGCCUUUGCCUUUCUCGGCUUUACACGUGCACUUUUGGUCCUCGUGUCCUUUUUGAGAAGGGGGACUGUGGUCAGAGUCAGUGGGGGAGGGCAGGGAAAAACGUCCUCCUCCUUUGCUCCUGUGAAGCUUUCUGAACAGAAUCCUCUACUGCCCACGCCACCUGGAUGGUAAAAACCUCUGUCUGCUGUCAGGAGACCUUCAGAGGCCGGCCCUGAACUGUUUUUCCCUGUAUUGGCUCCACCUUGAUCCUUGUCAAGAGAUAUGCUGCUCCUCUCACAGAGCCUCAGGACAUCUCUGUGGGACUCUGGAAGGGUGGCAUGGGGUGCAGGUGAAGGCUGUCUUUAGGGACACGUGCCUCUCCUCUCCCUCUUCCUUGCAUUCCUUUCCCCACCCUCCCAAAGUGGGUGCAUUUGCCCUUGAACUAACUUACACUAAGGAAAUAGAGAAUGGCAAGGGUCUGCAUUCCCUGAGUACCAGGACAGUGGUUUGCUUACAGGAAAAGUAAACCAACAGGUACCUAAAGUUGUGGGACUUGUUUUCUAAAAGUCAAACUCAGACCCUGAGCAUUUGGGCAGGAAAGUUAUUUCAGAGGUUGGGAGUGUGUGUGUGUGUGUGUGUGUGUGUGUGUGUGUGUGUGUGUGUUUUCCCAUGGCAACACAAGAAACUUCUGUCCUGGUGCAUGGGGGCAGGCAGUAGAGAUCUAGGUGCAACUUAGAGGUUUCUUAUCUCUGCUGGCCUCAAAUUUGCUUCCAUCUAUUAAGGCAGGUCACAGUCUUGCUGUAUGUGGUUUGGGGACAGGGUUAGAGCCUCCACAGGUGGGUGUGAGUGGAAGGGCACUUGCAGUGGGGCUUGUCAAGGUUUUCUUGAUGUGGGAAGGGCAGGCCCUCAUAUAAAUCCAGCAGCCUUGAGCUCAAAAAUCUUCAAAAAUCCUCCUGCUUUCUCUGAAAUCUUCAUGGCUACUUGGCAUUUUAUGUCCUUACAUAUUAAUGAUUAAUAUUAAAAUAGUAUUUAAAACUACUUCUUGUCAAGGGCAAAAAAUCUAAUAAACAAGUUCUCACAAUUU
Molecule: non-coding RNA, 2677 nt
Organism: Ictidomys tridecemlineatus (thirteen-lined ground squirrel)
Lineage: Eukaryota; Metazoa; Chordata; Mammalia; Rodentia; Sciuridae
Source: RefSeq, a predicted model, not a curated record